CAGAGACCGAUAGCGCACAAGUAGAGUGAUCGAAAGAUGAAAAGCACUUUGGAAAGAGAGUCAAAUAGCACGUGAAAUUGUUGAAAGGGAAGCGCUUGCAGCCAGACUUGCCUGUAGUUGCUUAUCCGGACUUUUGUCCGGUGCACUCUUCUGCGGGCAGGCCAGCAUCAGUUUGGGCGGUUGGAUAAAGGUCUCUAUCACGUACCUCUCUUCGGGGAGGCCUUAUAGGGGAGACGUCAUGCAACCAGCCUGGACUGAGGUCCGCGCAUCUGCUAGGAUGCCGGCGUAAUGGCUGUAAGCGGCCCGUCUUGAAACACGGACCAAGGAGUCUAACAUCUAUGCGAGUGUUUGGGUGUCAAGCCCAGACGCGUAAUGAAAGUGAACGGAGGUGGGAACCCUUUGGGUGCACCAUCGACCGAUCCUGAUGUCUUCGGAUGGAUUUGAGUAAGAGCAUGGCUGUUGGGACCCGAAAGAUGGUGAACUAUGCUUGAAUAGGGUGAAGCCAGAGGAAACUCUGGUGGAGGCUCGCAGCGGUUCUGACGUGCAAAUCGAUCGUCAAAUUUGGGCAUA
This 570-nucleotide ribosomal RNA is filed under the name Yunnanensis phragmitis. Its description in RNAcentral is "LSU rRNA". It matches the Rfam family "Eukaryotic large subunit ribosomal RNA", at positions 328 to 919 of the family's 3401-position model. Lineage: Eukaryota; Fungi; Ascomycota; Dothideomycetes; Pleosporales; Phaeosphaeriaceae. The record is from RNAcentral.